Heterocephalus glaber (naked mole-rat) is the source of this 640-nucleotide long non-coding RNA. The record is from Ensembl. Lineage: Eukaryota; Metazoa; Chordata; Mammalia; Rodentia; Bathyergidae.
AGCAGCCCUGCAGGACUCUGAUAAAAUAAGCUUUCUCUGACAUGAUGGAAAUGAUGCUUCUGGACACAAAGCCAGAAUUUCAUUCUAAAAAUGUGUUUAUUUGGUCCUGUAAGUACUUAAUAUAAUCCACACAGGCUAAGUAGUUAGUUGCUAAACUGCAAACACCCAUCUCAUUUCAUUUCAGUCCACUUCUGGCCAUCUGAUCCUCUGUAUUCCCAUUACAGUGCCAUGUGUGUAUUAAUGAAGUGACUGCAUCUGAUUACGUCUUUUAUUCAGAGAACAAGAACAGCCCAUCUAUUUUCUUCUCCAGCAUCAUUGUUUCUGUUAUGAUGUCAAUAACUAUGUUAUUCUACUUCGUGUAGAAGUAAAAUGGUCCUUCAGUAAGUGAGAUUAGAUUGAAGAUUGGCAAGAGCAGAUUCAAGGAAAGGAGUAAAGUUACUACCACUGUGGAUAUGUUUUACUCAAAGGUCAUCCUCAUGCACUUACUUCCUGCCCUUGAGGACUGAGUCUACACCAAAGAAACACCUCUAGAUUAACCAUCUGCUGCCAGGCUUCAUUUCUGCAGGAGUUCAUUCCAGUCCCGUGGGGACCAGACUGAUUGAAGUCUUCACUCAACAACCAAGUACUGAGUAAAUUUUCA